This 1081-nucleotide long non-coding RNA is filed under the name Homo sapiens (human). Its description in RNAcentral is "non-protein coding lnc-LMOD3-4:1". Lineage: Eukaryota; Metazoa; Chordata; Mammalia; Primates; Hominidae. The record is from RNAcentral.
AAGGGCAUCAGUUUUGAAUGUCAAGGAAUCCAAAGCUUUGAAAGAACAGUUGUAACUACAACUGGUUGUACUGGCUGGUCUUCCGUUUGGCCUUUUUAGUGAUUAAUUAUUGGCCAUAUUAGUGAAGAGGCACUUCCAAGAUAUUAAGAAUGAGGGUGGAGAUGUUGAAGAUGUGAUAUAUCCAACAAGAAUCCCAGGGAGUUGCAUCUGUAAUAUGCAAAGAAAAAAAAAGUUGCAGAGAAUGUCAUCAGACAUAAACAACAGCCAACAAGGAAGGCUGGACAUGCUGAACUCACAGUCUCUCAUUUUAGUCACAAGAUCUUCAGCUCUGUAAAUGCUAUCCUUGAUCUUUCUGUUUUUGGAAGUGAAGUUACUCUAGAAAUUCUGGUAAUGAACCUGAAAAAGAAAUUCCCAACUUUAAGCUUUAGUCCUUUGGAAGCUAGUGGAAGACUUUCCAUGGAAGGAUCAUUUCUAGCUGUCAAAGAGGCUCAAAUAAUCUUUGCAAGUAAAAGCAAGUUCUCUUUUAUAAAAAAAAAAAAAAGACAACUUUCACCAGUGAGGGGAGAAAGUAGAAUAAAUAGAGCCCCCAAAGGAAUCUAUAGAGAGGCAAUAACUCUUUGGAGUCAGUCGGGACCUUAGUACCUGAGACUACUAGAAGUGGAGAAAUACUUCUGCCCAACACAGAUGUUUUUCUUUACCUGAAACAGAAAUGUGGAUUUUUUGAAAACGCACUGAACAAAUUCCAUAUUCUGAGUCAGAAGAGAGUGGAUGGUGAAAUGACCACAAUUUGUCUAAAAAGUACUCAAGCCCGUUCUCAACCAAACAAUCCAAAACAUGUAACAGAGCUCAUUGAGGAAUGGUCACAUGCUCUUCAUUUAGAGCUUAGAAAAGAGACAUGUAUUUUGGGGGGGAAAAAAGGAAAACAGAGAGAAAAUCAUUAAAUGGGCAUAUGAACAAUUAAGUUUGAGAUAUCUUGGAGUCCUAAUUAACCUUUAUAGGACACACAUUGACAUUAUAGGAUCUUCUUCUGACGCUUACCUAUUUUUAAAAGGGGUCAUGAAAUUAAUAGGGCAAAAGGUUA